This 588-nucleotide ribosomal RNA is filed under the name uncultured Piloderma. RNAcentral describes it as "eukaryotic LSU rRNA". The stretch from base 67 to 221 matches the Rfam family "5.8S ribosomal RNA". Lineage: Eukaryota; Fungi; Basidiomycota; Agaricomycetes; Atheliales; Atheliaceae. The record is from RNAcentral.
CCCAUCGUAUGUCUCAUAGAAUGUAAAUAUAUGUCCUCGCCUUAAAAAGCGUUGAUAAACUUAUACAACUUUCAACAACGGAUCUCUUGGCUCUCGCAUCGAUGAAGAACGCAGCGAAAUGCGAUAAGUAAUGUGAAUUGCAGAUAUUCAGUGAAUCAUCGAAUCUUUGAACGCACCUUGCGCUCCUUGGUAUUCCGAGGAGCAUGCCUGUUUGAGUGUCAUUAAAUUCUCAAACUCCGAUCGAUUUGUUUCGACUUCGGGGCUUGGAUUUGGAGCGUGCUGGCGUCGGUCGGCUCCUCUUAAACGCAUCAGCGGAAUCUAACGUUCCGGACGUCAGUGUGAUAAUCACGUUGCGCUGUCUUUCGGUCCGAAAAGCCCGCUCACAAUGGUCUUCGGACAACUUCAUAUCAAAUUUGACCUCAAAUCAGGUAGGACUACCCGCUGAACUUAAGCAUAUCAAUAAGCGGAGGAAAAGAAACUAACAAGGAUUCCCCUAGUAACUGCGAGUGAAGCGGGAAAAGCUCAAAUUUAAAAUCUGGCGGUCUUGCGGCCGUCCGAGUUGUAAUCUGGAGAAGCGUUUAUCCGCGU